CUACAAUGGCCUGUCUGUUUUCUGCGCCAACGUUUGGCGGGUAGCCAAUCCACACGGAAGUGUCGUGGUUUACAUGGGCCCAGACGUGCAACGUUUUGUGUCAGUGUUUGGUUGUAUGGGCGGAGUACCGGGGGCGACUUCAUGGGCCAUGCCCCGCCCAACGGAGAGCUCGAUGGAUUAAGGCAUAGAUUGCAUAUGGCGAACAUAUUCUUCUCGGCAGACAUCUGCAUUUUCAUUUGUUUUCAAUGUAGCUCGUGGUACUGAGUUUAGCGGUUUAUCAGAGAUUUGUCAUUGUUUCCACCCGAACCUAUUCAUGCAUACGAGUGUUGUGGGAUAAACUGGACGGACUGUCGAUAAAGUGUGGUGGGAAAACAGUGGGACCUCGGCAGCUGACUUGACUGGGUAAUGCAGUCGUGGCCCUGAGUGCUUGCCUCCGGUAGUAGUAGUAGUGCCAGAGUACGGUAACCAGGUGUGCAAGGUUUUCCACUCCAUGUCGUGGGAUCGAAUCUAAUACACACAUGAGGCACUUGUAAGCGGUCCUC
This 542-nucleotide long non-coding RNA is filed under the name Volvox carteri. Its description in RNAcentral is "long non-coding RNA (VCAR_LNC002031)". Lineage: Eukaryota; Viridiplantae; Chlorophyta; Chlorophyceae; Chlamydomonadales; Volvocaceae. The record is from RNAcentral.